This 732-nucleotide ribosomal RNA is filed under the name uncultured bacterium. Its description in RNAcentral is "bacterial SSU rRNA". It matches the Rfam family "Bacterial small subunit ribosomal RNA", at positions 32 to 757 of the family's 1533-position model. The record is from RNAcentral.
AACGCUGGCGGCAGGCUUAACACAUGCAAGUCGAGCGGAAACGAAGGUAGCUUGCUACCAGGCGUCGAGCGGCGGACGGGUGAGUAAUGCUUAGGAAUCUACCGAGUAGUGGGGGAUAGCCAUUGGAGACGAUGAUUAAUACCGCAUAUAUCCUACGGGGGAAAGCAGGGGACCUUCGGGCCUUGCGCUAUUCGAUGAGCCUGAGUGAGAUUAGCUAGUUGGUGGGGUAAAGGCCUACCAAGGCGACGAUCUCUAGCUGGUCUGAGAGGAUGAUCAGCCACACUGGGACUGAGACACGGCCCAGACUCCUACGGGAGGCAGCAGUGGGGAAUAUUGCACAAUGGACGAAAGUCUGAUGCAGCCAUGCCGCGUGUGUGAAGAAGGCCUUCGGGUUGUAAAGCACUUUCAGCGAGGAGGAAAGGUCAGUAAGUAAUAUUUGCUGGCUGUGACGUUACUCGCAGAAGAAGCACCGGCUAAUUUAGUGCCAGCAGCCGCGGUAAUACUAAAGGUGCAAGCGUUAAUCGGAAUUACUGGGCGUAAAGCGCGCGUAGGUGGUUUGUUAAGUUGGAUGUGAAAGCCCAGGGCUCAACCUUGGAACUGCAUUCAAAACUGACUCACUAGAGUACGAGAGAGGUUAGUGGAAUUUCCUGUGUAGCGGUGAAAUGCGUAGAGAUGGGAAGGAACACCAGUGGCGAAGCGACUGACUGGCUCGAUACUGACACUGAGUGCGAA